GCCUCGGUGGUGUAGUGGUAGCACGCGCUCCGCCCCCGGUAUGGGCAAAACGCGAGUACAACUCCCGUUUGAGGUC
Non-coding RNA from Parelaphostrongylus tenuis, 76 nucleotides. NCBI's taxonomy places the organism in Eukaryota, Metazoa, Nematoda, Chromadorea, Rhabditida, Metastrongylidae. The record is from the annotation of a GenBank genome assembly.